Molecule: ribosomal RNA, 267 nt
Filed under: Shigella flexneri
Lineage: Bacteria; Pseudomonadati; Pseudomonadota; Gammaproteobacteria; Enterobacterales; Enterobacteriaceae
Description: partial 16S ribosomal RNA
Rfam family: Bacterial small subunit ribosomal RNA
Source: RNAcentral
CGAAUCCCAUAAAGCCAUUCUCAGUUCGGAUUGCAGGCUGCAACUCGCCUGCAUGAAGCCGGAAUCGCUAGUAAUCGCGGAUCAGCAUGCCGCGGUGAAUACGUUCCCGGGCCUUGUACACACCGCCCGUCACACCACGAGAGUUUGUAACACCCGAAGUCGGUGAGGUAACCUUCAUGGAGCCAGCCGCCUAAGGUGGGACAGAUGAUUGGGGUGAAGUCGUAACAAGGUAGCCGUAUCGGAAGGUGCGGCUGGAUCACCUCCUUU